CUGCUGCUCUGCACACUGACCCCUUCACCAGGAAUCGCUCUGAAAAUAAUUUAAAAAGUCCUUUCAACUACUGCUGCUCUGCACGCUGACUCACUUCACCAGGAAUCUUUCCAGAAACAUGUUACCAGAUCUUCUCGAUCCAACUAUUACUGCCCUGAAGCCUUAAAAUCAAGAGCUCGGAACACUCAUUCAUGUGAAUGACUCGCAAGUGGUUUUUUUCAAUGACUGUCUAUAAUUAUGCAUGAUUAACUUAACUCUUAUUAACUCAAUAACAUGACUAACCUCACUAACUUAAUUAGGCAGUUAAUAUAAAAACCACUUGUUGAGUUUUACUAUGAAGGUCUUAAUGGGGUUACGUGGAAGACACCGCUGCAUGAUUAAUCAGGGUAACCAACUUCAAGCCAAGUGCUCUUCAACGCUCAAGUUGCUCAUGAGUGAGAACAAUCAUUUGACCUACUAAUUAUGCUGUCCGUCCGUCCGUCCGUCCGUCUCUUCACCAGAG
Long non-coding RNA from Ctenocephalides felis (cat flea), 502 nucleotides. RefSeq lists it as uncharacterized. Lineage: Eukaryota; Metazoa; Arthropoda; Insecta; Siphonaptera; Pulicidae. The record is from RefSeq and is a predicted model, not a curated record. The transcript is spliced from 4 exons.